Molecule: ribosomal RNA, 746 nt
Filed under: uncultured Parvimonas sp.
Lineage: Bacteria; Bacillati; Bacillota; Tissierellia; Tissierellales; Peptoniphilaceae
Description: bacterial SSU rRNA
Rfam family: Bacterial small subunit ribosomal RNA
Source: RNAcentral
GACGAACGCUGGCGGCGUGCUUAACACAUGCAAGUCGAACGUGAUUUUUGUGGAAAUUCUUUCGGGAAUGGAAAUGAAAUGAAAGUGGCGAACGGGUGAGUAACACGUGAGCAACCUACCUUACACAGGGGGAUAGCCGUUGGAAACGACGAUUAAUACCGCAUGAGACCACAGAAUCGCAUGAUAUAGGGGUCAAAGAUUUAUCGGUGUAAGAAGGGCUCGCGUCUGAUUAGCUAGUUGGAAGGGUAAAGGCCUACCAAGGCGACGAUCAGUAGCCGGUCUGAGAGGAUGAACGGCCACAUUGGAACUGAGACACGGUCCAAACUCCUACGGGAGGCAGCAGUGGGGAAUAUUGCACAAUGGGGGGAACCCUGAUGCAGCGACGCCGCGUGAGCGAAGAAGGUUUUCGAAUCGUAAAGCUCUGUCCUAUGAGAAGAUAAUGACGGUAUCAUAGGAGGAAGCCCCGGCUAAAUACGUGCCAGCAGCCGCGGUAAUACGUAUGGGGCGAGCGUUGUCCGGAAUUAUUGGGCGUAAAGGGUACGUAGGCGGCCUUUUAAGUCAGGUGUGAAAGCGUGAGGCUUAACCUCAUUAAGCACUUGAAACUGGAAGGCUUGAGUGAAGGGGAGGAAAGUGGAAUUCCUAGUGUAGCGGUGAAAUGCGUAGAUAUUAGGAGGAAUACCGGUGGCGAAGGCGACUUUCUGGACUUUUACUGACGCUCAGGUACGAAAGCGUGGGGAGCAAACAGG